RNAcentral lists this long non-coding RNA (213 nucleotides) under Volvox carteri. RNAcentral describes it as "long non-coding RNA (VCAR_LNC000642)". The record is from RNAcentral. Lineage: Eukaryota; Viridiplantae; Chlorophyta; Chlorophyceae; Chlamydomonadales; Volvocaceae.
GGAGGCUUCUUGGAGCCCGCUAGCAUUGUUAACGGACUAGUGCUGAUGCAAGCAACCGCAAGCAGACGGCUCAAAUGCAGUGCCAGCUGCGCGUAGCAGUUUGCCGUGAGGGAGGGACGUGGGGUAGGCGGACGGACCUAAACUGCCAGAUUUGUAAGGCUUUGCAGAUGUUCGGACAAGUUAGUGACUUCUACAGUCGGGGGUUUGGUCGCC